AUAUAUAGUUCAAUGGGAGCUGAGCAGACAGGGCUGCAAGGAAAUCUGGCGCGGUUCAAUACCUCGUCUAGCCUGGUUUCCAGUAUUUAAUUUUUUUUUACUGACAAACUCAUUUCUCUACCGGGGCAGGAUGCUGUGUUGGCUGGAAGUUCCAUUUCUACAGCAAGAAUCCUAUCUGGAAACAGAGAAGUUGUCCUCUAGCCACAGCAGCUCGAACUUUUUUGACUGUUGUUGCUGCUUUCUCCCAUCACCCCCACCCCCCUUUUGACAAAGAUCCAACUGUAAAAAGUCUUACGUAACAAUUCAGGACUACUUCGGUUCUUUUACGGGGUGCCCAAGUAUAAUCAAGAGGCCCCGGCAGUACUACAAAAACAUUUGCAUCUCCAAGCUGGAAAAAUGCGGACUUCAGUAUUUCAUGGAACUUCUGGAAAGGGAAAGAAAGGAGCACUGGCUCAAGACUCCAGACACUGAAAAGGAGACCAAUUCAGAUGGCUUGAUUAAGAAUGGAGGCAAGGCUGCAAAGAGAAGCCUGAGAAUGCGGCACUGAGCUUUUACCUAGUUCUUGAACUUCAAGAUGGCUCCUGCUACUUGAGGUAUAUUCCCCUUCCUUAGAACAUUUUCAAGAUAAGAGAAUUCUGAAUAUAAAAUGUGAUCUAAGUGGUGGAAAGCAGAAGCCUGGGUGGCUCAAUUUAGCAGAAUAGCUCUGGCAACAGCAGCUGAAAUGAGAGCCAAAGAUUUUUUUUUUUAACUACAUAUCUUUUUUCUUUAUGAGACAAGAUCCUCUAAAAAAAAAUUUUAAUGCAGAGACAAUGAAAAUCAGCCUGUAAUCCCACUCUCCUAAAGAUAUGCUGUUAACUGUUCAAUGUAUCUUCUUCUAGACAUUCCUUAUACCUAUAUAAACAGAUGUAUUUUAAUAUAAAUGAAAUCAGAUAUACAGACACAUACACACCCAUUUUAAACUGCUUUUUUCUUUCACUAUAUUGUAUGCAUUUUUCUACAUCAAUAAAAAUCUGCCUUCUCAAUAA
Molecule: long non-coding RNA, 1025 nt
Organism: Choloepus didactylus (southern two-toed sloth)
Lineage: Eukaryota; Metazoa; Chordata; Mammalia; Pilosa; Megalonychidae
Exons: 3
Source: RefSeq, a predicted model, not a curated record